RNAcentral lists this long non-coding RNA (783 nucleotides) under Citrus x clementina. RNAcentral's name for it is "Citrus clementina (C. clementina) long non-coding RNA (CCLE_LNC003231)". Lineage: Eukaryota; Viridiplantae; Streptophyta; Magnoliopsida; Sapindales; Rutaceae. The record is from RNAcentral.
AUAAUUUUAUAGUGUGUUAAAAAAUAAUUUUAUUAGACCACUCAACAAUAUAUUCGUAUUAAAAAAAAUUGCAGCUUUAGGCAUAAAUCAAAGAUAUUCGUAGGAGUUGCAGGUGCUCAUUUUGCAAUAAACCGUCCCGACAUCGGUUUGGUCUGGAGUUUUUAAUUGAUCAGAAUCAGUUCAGUUUUGUUAAAAACGAAAACAAACACAGGAAACUGAUGAAGACCAAGCCCGAACUACUGCAUUAAUUUAAUUUAUACAAAGCCCAUGCAAGCUAUUUAUGAUGUGAAAUGAAAUUUAUGAUAUGAUAUGAUACGAAAUAGCUAUAUAUGGCUAUUUAUGAUAUGAAAUGAAAAUCCAUUAUAAAUAUACAGGAAAAUUAAUAACUAAGAACUCGUAUCCUAUAUUAUAUAUUCGGAUCCAGUUAUAUUACAACUGUGAUACCAUACUAUACAACGCUUUUUGUUUCUAUUCUGAAAUAUCCUUCGACGUAAAGAAUCUAACGGUUGAAAUUAGUUCUUGGAUAAUUUAGGUAUCCAGCUAUGUUGUCAUUAUAUAUUCAGUAAACUUCAUUACAUUAUGAUUUAAUUAGCUAAAAUAUUUUUUUCAUGCAACAUGUUUGAAUGGCCAGAUAAUUUUCAACACGCUUCUCGUUCAAACUUGAAGUAUCCAUUAUGAAAAAUACAAAUAGAAUUUAUUGUUUCUUUCGAGUAAUUAAGUGCAGUUUCCAGUUACUGUGUAACUUUACGCUCAUAAUCAAUUCAUUUUUUACUGCAUUGAUUC